This 482-nucleotide ribosomal RNA is filed under the name uncultured bacterium. Its description in RNAcentral is "partial 16S ribosomal RNA". It matches the Rfam family "Bacterial small subunit ribosomal RNA", at positions 30 to 507 of the family's 1533-position model. The record is from RNAcentral.
AUUGAACGCUGGCGGCAUGCCUUACACAUGCAAGUCGAACGGUAACGGGCCUUCGGGUGCCGACGAGUGGCGAACGGGCGAGUAAUACAUCGGAACGUGCCCGAUCGUGGGGGAUAACGAGGCGAAAGCUUUGCUAAUACCGCAUACGAUCUACGGAUGAAAUCAGGGGACCGCAAGGCCUUGCGCGGGCGGAGCGGCCGAUGGCAGAUUAGGUAGUUGGUGGGAUAAAAGCUUACCAAGCCGACGAUCUGUAGCUGGUCUGAGAGGAUGAUCAGCCACACUGGGACUGAGACACGGCCCAGACUCCUACGGGAGGCAGCAGUGGGGAAUUUUGGACAAUGGGCGCAAGCCUGAUCCAGCCAUGCCGCGUGCAGGAUGAAGGCCUUCGGGUUGUAAACUGCUUUUGUACGGAACGAAAAGCCUUCUUUUAAUACAGGAGGGUCAUGACGGUACCGUAAGAAUAAGCACCGGCUAACUACGUG